Molecule: ribosomal RNA, 901 nt
Filed under: Listeria monocytogenes
Lineage: Bacteria; Bacillati; Bacillota; Bacilli; Caryophanales; Listeriaceae
Description: partial 23S ribosomal RNA
Rfam family: Bacterial large subunit ribosomal RNA
Source: RNAcentral
CUGAGUACGGCGGAACACGUGAAAUUCCGUCGGAAUCCGGGAGGACCAUCUCCCAAGGCUAAAUACUCCCUAGUGACCGAUAGUGAACCAGUACCGUGAGGGAAAGGUGAAAAGCACCCCGGAAGGGGAGUGAAACAGUUCCUGAAACCGUGUGCCUACAAGUAGUUAGAGCCCGUUAAUGGGUGAUAGCGUGCCUUUUGUAGAAUGAACCGGCGAGUUACGAUUUGUUGCAAGGUUAAGCGGAAAAAGCGGAGCCGUAGCGAAAGCGAGUCUGAAUAGGGCGCAUAAGUAACAGGUCGUAGACCCGAAACCAGGUGAUCUACCCAUGUCCAGGAUGAAGGUAAGGUAAUACUUACUGGAGGUCCGAACCCACGCACGUUGAAAAGUGCGGGGAUGAGGUGUGGGUAGCGGAGAAAUUCCAAUCGAACUUGGAGAUAGCUGGUUCUCUCCGAAAUAGCUUUAGGGCUAGCCUCGAGGUAAAGAGUCAUGGAGGUAGAGCACUGUUUGGACUAGGGGCCCUUCUCGGGUUACCGAAUUCAGAUAAACUCCGAAUGCCAUGUACUUAUACUCGGGAGUCAGACUGCGAGUGAUAAGAUCCGUAGUCGAAAGGGAAACAGCCCAGACCACCAGUUAAGGUCCCCAAAUAUAUGUUAAGUGGAAAAGGAUGUGGGGUUGCUUAGACAACCAGGAUGUUGGCUUAGAAGCAGCCACCAUUGAAAGAGUGCGUAAUAGCUCACUGGUCGAGUGACCCCGCGCCGAAAAUGUACCGGGGCUAAACAUAUUACCGAAACUGUGGAUGAACCUCUUUAGAGGUUCGUGGUAGGAGAGCGUUCUAAGGGCGGUGAAGUCAGACCGGAAGGACUGGUGGAGCGCUUAGAAGUGAGAAUGCCGGUAUGAGUAG